Molecule: ribosomal RNA, 501 nt
Filed under: uncultured bacterium
Lineage: Bacteria
Description: partial 16S ribosomal RNA
Rfam family: Bacterial small subunit ribosomal RNA
Source: RNAcentral
AUUGAACGCUGGCGGCAGGCUUAACACAUGCAAGUCGAGCGGGGGAAGGUAGCUUGCUACCGGACCUAGCGGCGGACGGGUGAGUAAUGCUUAGGAAUCUGCCUAUUAGUGGGGGACAACAUCUCGAAAGGGAUGCUAAUACCGCAUACGUCCUACGGGAGAAAGCAGGGGAUCUUCGGACCUUGCGCUAAUAGAUGAGCCUAAGUCGGAUUAGCUAGUUGGUGGGGUAAAGGCCUACCAAGGCGACGAUCUGUAGCGGGUCUGAGAGGAUGAUCCGCCACACUGGGACUGAGACACGGCCCAGACUCCUACGGGAGGUAGCAGUGGGGAAUAUUGGACAAUGGGGGGAACCCUGAGCCAGCCAUGCCGCGUGUGUGAAGAAGGCCUUAUGGUUGUAAAGCACUUUAGGCGAGGAGGAGGCUACUUUAGUUAAUACCUAGAGAUAGUGGACGUUACUCGCAGAAUAAGCACCGGCUAACUCUGUGCCAGCCGCCGCGGUAA